GGGGAUAUAGCUCAGUUGGUAGAGCGACGCGUUCGCAAUGCGUAGGUCAGGAGUUCGACUCUCCUUAUCUCCA
RNAcentral lists this transfer RNA (73 nucleotides) under Fibrobacteres bacterium CG2_30_45_31. RNAcentral's name for it is "tRNA-Ala". It matches the Rfam family "tRNA". Rfam says of the family: Transfer RNA (tRNA) molecules are approximately 80 nucleotides in length. Their secondary structure includes four short double-helical elements and three loops (D, anti-codon, and T loops). The record is from RNAcentral. RNAcentral also lists the same sequence under 1 other name. Lineage: Bacteria; Pseudomonadati; Fibrobacterota.